RNAcentral lists this ribosomal RNA (124 nucleotides) under Butyriboletus appendiculatus. Its description in RNAcentral is "partial 28S ribosomal RNA". It matches the Rfam family "Eukaryotic large subunit ribosomal RNA", at positions 1 to 124 of the family's 3401-position model. Lineage: Eukaryota; Fungi; Basidiomycota; Agaricomycetes; Boletales; Boletaceae. The record is from RNAcentral.
UGACCUCAAAUCAGGUAGGACUACCCGCUGAACUUAAGCAUAUCAAUAAGCGGAGGAAAAGAAACUAACAAGGAUUCCCCUAGUAACUGCGAGUGAAGCGGGAAGAGCUCAAAUUUUGAAUCUG